AGGCGAUCGGCUGGUGGCUCCUCGCCGCCAUAUCCGGUGUCCGGAUCCUCCCUCGCGGCGGCGAUGACGCGUGCUUCGCUCCUGACCAGCGGUCUCUUCUCCUCACCCGCCGUCCUCGAUUCGUUUCCCUUCUUCUUCUGUUCCAACUUCCAACGCUGACCCAAGCAUCCUCUCCUUGCGAAUUACUCGCAUAGCAGUAACUAGCGGACGGGUGGCAAGUGGAAGCAGAGAUCGGUCUCUAUAUCCAUGUGGAUUCGCCCAGGUGGAAUGGAGUGCAUAGGAAAUGAAGAUUUCUGUUGAACCGAGGAAGAGAGCAAGGGAAGAACAGACCUUGGCUGCAUAGCUAUAGCCACCAGGAAUCUUCCCGGCCUCCAUAUGCAGGGAGUCGAACCUCUGCAGCCUCCUCGGGGGCGACGGCGGCACCUUCACCGACGCAAACGCAGAGCCCGCUUCAGCAGCCCCAUUGCCGUUUGUUUUCAGAGGCUCAGCCAUCGUGGAGGCACACACCGGGUGGGCCCAGGCAUGACAACAGCAGGCCCUGUGACGUCUCAACCAGAAGCCAGCCACACAUGCCAUCUCACCAUCAGACCCGUCAAGGGCUUUGAACAGUGUGUAACAGACGGCCCAAACCGGCAGGCAAAAGGAUUGACCCGCGGUGCCGUGCGCCCGACUCGAGCAGCCGUUCUAGGCGAGCGGAAGACGACAAGGCAACAGCAGGCCCGCCCGGUGGUUUCAACUCCCUUUCGUGCGAAUUGCGAUGCGAUUCUCCCAAGCCGGAAGGCGGGCUUGACCGGACACACUGACUGACCAUGUACUCCGUAUCAUGUAUGCAUGCUUUCUCGCGCACGCAGGAUCUUCCCGGAGAACGGUCGUCCUGAUGGUGGCAUCCCAAGUGAUAGGCCACUUGCCUCGCCAAAGUGGCCUGGCUCUUUUGACCGCAUGCACAUGCGCGUGAUCUGAUCACAUCACCGAGGCUUAGUCAGUCAGUCUCCGGUGCGUGUGGCAUGGGCAGUGGAUUAGGAGCGAGCAAGUAAACGCCGCAGCAUCGCUGCUGUGCUGCCAAUGUUCCACUGCCAGCGUAGCUUAUGGUGGUUUUACCAGUAAGUAUAGUUCAUUUUUGGGAUGCUAAUUACCAAUCAAGCGCACGCGGGAAUCUUUCGCCUCGGUAUUAUUUUGAACUCGCAAAAAUCUCCAUUUUUGAGUUUUGCUUUUGUAAGAAAUAAUUUGGGGGUUUCUUGAAUGGAAAUCGAGGAGGAGGCCUACCUUAUUUUAUUUUUUUGAGAAAGAGAAUCGCCUGAUGUUUCAAAACAAAAUCAAUAAAAAUCACAAGAGGGGAAAUAGUAUGCCUGUUGACUUCACUUGCUGCUGGUAAAGAAAAGCAUUUGGAAAAUCAUGGGCAUUUAAUUUUGCUUGAAAAACAUGGUGCGAUGGUCCAUGAAUGAAUGCUCGCUUGCUUUGUUUGCCGGUUGUUCUUGCUGGUGUUUCGUCAUCUAUGUAUUGAAUGAUGCUCGUGCGUAUGAUGACAUAGCCGUUAUUCGGGUUGUGAUCAUCACAUCCAGCUUCAGCCAUCUUCCUUGAAUCUUGACCCAUCUCCCCACCCCUACUUGCCAUUCCCAUGGUUUUCGUUUAUAUGGGAAAUUUGGGCUACUUUUCUGAUGACAUCACUUUUAAGCCCAUACGGUCACUUUUUUAGAAUUAUUGCCCAACUUUAUUAAUGCAUAAUGUUCAUAGGUACAAGGGUAUCAUCAUACGGAUUACACAACCAAACAUGGCGUCCUGUGUCUAGAUUACAUGCAAACUUGACGAGAUUGUGUGCUUCAAAAUUAAAAUUCCUAUGCUUGAAAAUAAAUUUACAAGAUUGAAACCUAGCCUUGCGCUCCAGUAUUUCAUGCAGAAUUGCACCGUGACUUCGUCCGGAACGUUGCUCAAUGUCAUUCACCACUACCUGACAAUCUGAGGCAACACAAAGCUUCUCUGCUCCUAGAUCAACCGCAAGUGACAUAGCCUCUUGACAGCCCAAAGCUUUUGCGCUCCUCUUUCGGUGGACACAAUAAGGCAACACUUUCGGUAGAUUUAACUACAGUAAGAGACCUCCUCUACAGAGUGAGCCACCGUGGACCAGAAUAAUGAGGAAGCAACGGUUUUCCUGGUUUGCGGGUCAUGGUUGACCGGUCCACAGUUGACCGGAUGACCAUUGACUUUUCAAGA
Molecule: long non-coding RNA, 2208 nt
Organism: Triticum aestivum (bread wheat)
Lineage: Eukaryota; Viridiplantae; Streptophyta; Magnoliopsida; Poales; Poaceae
Exons: 5
Source: RefSeq, a predicted model, not a curated record